ACGAACAGGCGCAGGCCCCGGCGUCCGCCGCGCAGUUAGGAAACUGACGCGCUCUCCGGCCUCAGCGCCGCUUCGGGCACCCCGGCACCGGCCCCUGCUGCUUUGUAGCAUUCUGCAGCUGGGCUGCAGGCGCCGUGGGCCUCCGCCGGUUGUGUUCGAGACGCGGUUCGGCCACAGAAGUUUUAGCUGUGUGACUUUGGGCAAGUCAGUGGCCCUCUCUGGGCCUCAGGUGCCUUUUUUGCUGUGAGACCAGCGACUGUAUUUUUAACCCUGAUUUUAUCCCUAGAUCUACCCAACACAUAGUAGGUGCUCAAAAGAUAUUUAUGAGUGAAUGAAUGCAUCAUGAGAAGAAAUUGGACCAGAUGAGGCCCUGUGAAGCUGCUUGGGUUUUUUUUUGUUGUUCUUUUUUUUUUUUUCUCUUCUGAAUGUCCCUGGCCUGGACUAGAAAUUCUCCAUCCUUCGGCCUUUUGUGAGACUGCAGGAGCAUUACUUUUGAAGGACGCUAAGGAAUCCGAGGGAUGAAAAAAAUCAAGAGAUUGCAAUGAUGUCACAAAACAAGGAAACAAGUGCAGCAUAUUCACUCCGAAGCAGAAAUUUGCCAAAAAACCAUCCUCUUUUUAUCAGAAAAUAAAAUAUCCUGGUUUCUUAGCCUGGCA
Molecule: non-coding RNA, 656 nt
Filed under: Pongo abelii (Sumatran orangutan)
Lineage: Eukaryota; Metazoa; Chordata; Mammalia; Primates; Hominidae
Source: RNAcentral